Molecule: non-coding RNA, 72 nt
Organism: Pangasius djambal
Lineage: Eukaryota; Metazoa; Chordata; Actinopteri; Siluriformes; Pangasiidae
Source: the annotation of a GenBank genome assembly
UCCCCAAUAGUCUAGUGGAUUGGUGUUGGACUUUCACUCUAGAGAGCUGGGUUUAAUCCCCACGCUGUGACA